AUUUUUUAGUUACGGUCGACAACUGAAUUCAACUUAGCUGCUGAGCCACUUAAGCUAAAAUCUCGGUCUCAUACUAAUGCCGAGCAGCGAAAAAUGCCAGUGAAGGAAAGAAUGGUAUAGAAAAACAAAGCAGGCGGAAGUAAUCCACGAAAAGGAAGGGGGUGUGAAAGAACUACCCAAUGAGACGCAGCAGAUAGAGCCCAAAAACGAAAGGAGAAAGCAGAACAAAUUGGGCGAAGAUAAAAAAAAUAAAGAAAUAAUAGCUCCAGGCCAUAUAGCGCUGUAGGUCUUGCUUCCAGAAAGGCUUUCUUGAAUCGAUUUAAGCAUGUGUACCCGUAUAACUGUGUGACAACUUACAGAUCGCGGUUUGAAGCAAUUUAGUACACUAAUGUGUUUUAGCCAACAGAAGUGGCCCACAGGAAAGAAGAAGAGAGCAAAUCGGCUGCAUUUACAAAAAAUAUUGUAUGCUUUUCCACAUUCUUUGAGGACAACAGCCGUAAAGGCGUCACUUUAUGAAGCUUACUAACACACGUUUAUGUGUCAUUAAUCUCAUUCGUGUUAUUUCAAAAUCGUGUAACAAAAGAGUUUGUUAUGUACCUAUUUUUCGGUAAGCUUUUAAUCGAAACUUUAGAAAAAACCACUAAAACCUUCUGAAAGCUUUCCUGUUAUAGCAAAAAAAAACGUCGAUAAUAUGAAAAAAAAAUAUCCAAAGCCACAAUAUUGACGAUAACAGACUUACAUGAAUUACGAUCAAAAUACCAUCUACAAAUGACUACUAAACACACUAAUACCAUCUACAAACCGCUACUAACCAUAAUAAUAUUAUAAACAUAACGUACAUUAGAAUUCAA
Glossina fuscipes is the source of this 851-nucleotide long non-coding RNA. RefSeq lists it as uncharacterized. The record is from RefSeq and is a predicted model, not a curated record. The transcript is spliced from 3 exons. Lineage: Eukaryota; Metazoa; Arthropoda; Insecta; Diptera; Glossinidae.